AGCUCAGUGCCCAUGAGGAAGACUCAGUGGAAACUAACAGUGAGGAGCAGUCGUGUGUGAUGCGUGUGUGGGCGCCCUGCCUUUACUGCAGGAAGUGCCUUUCAUUUUCCUGUUGCCCUUGAAGAGCCUGUUAAUUAGAAAAGAUCUCUGGAAGAGCUUGAAAGUUUCUGGAAGAAUCUGGACCUGACCUAAAGCACAGUGUAGUUAAGCAGCUCUAGCUCCGUGUUCCGGACCCAGCAUCUGGGUGCCCUGACCUUGGACCCCACUGGAGCUCUGAAUGUGAUCCUCUCCACUCAUUAUCCACUCGUGCUCAACCUCACCUCCUCCAUAAAGGCUUCCAUGGUUUCCCCCAUCUGAACACCUAUAGCUCUUACCACCGGUGCUUCUCUUUAAUGUCGUCUUAGAAGAGACUUCCACACCAGGGGUGACCUGAAGCGUGCUGGGGAUACUCAGCAGAGGGAAGCCGACUCUUUCCAAGCCAACGAUAGUAAGAGAUACAUCGUGGAAAGUGUGCGUUGCUAACUGCAGUACCACUACCAGGGCCCAACGCAUGUUUCAAACAGCCGGUGUUGCAAAUGACCAGAGGAUGAGCCGCGGAAACCCUCCCAGCUUAAGCCCCUGUAGACUCUUCUUAAUUGGGGCAAUUUCAGGGUAAUCCCUCUUCUCUGCCUCUUCACACUGUCCCCAGUGUGAUUUAACCUAAAUUUCCUUCAAAGUUAGAGCUGCUACCACAUAUUUACAGGGUCAUCUCCCUGAAGCCUUCUGAAGAAUUAUGGAUCUAAAGUAAAAUGAGAUCCUCAGUUACUCGCCUUAUCAUCCAUCCUCAGUACACUUUUAUUGCUAAUAUUAAAACACAAUGUGUGUUGGGAAUAAAUAGCAAAAGAAAUAAAAA
This 892-nucleotide long non-coding RNA is filed under the name Equus caballus (horse). Its description in RNAcentral is "lncRNA (ENSECAG00000054346.1)". Lineage: Eukaryota; Metazoa; Chordata; Mammalia; Perissodactyla; Equidae. The record is from RNAcentral.